RNAcentral lists this unclassified non-coding RNA (390 nucleotides) under fungal sp. Its description in RNAcentral is "partial internal transcribed spacer region". The stretch from base 1 to 46 matches the Rfam family "Eukaryotic small subunit ribosomal RNA", at positions 1786 to 1831 of the family's 1831-position model. The record is from RNAcentral. Lineage: Eukaryota; Fungi.
AAGUCGUAACAAGGUUUCCGUAGGUGAACCUGCGGAAGGAUCAUUAUCCUUUUCGUAGUAUUUUUAAUACUACAAGCGCAUUUAUUUGCGUCAAUACACAUGCUGACUGUAGAUGCUUUUCUACGGUCUUUAAAAUCCAUACUUGCUCGAGUAUGGUCGGGUACCUAUGCAUGUGAUUGCUUGCUCAAUCACAUCAUAAGCGGUAUAGCUCUUACCGUAUGGUUUGAAGAUAGUUCAACAAUUUGAACUACGCCCGCAUUGCUAUUAAAUUACUACAUUACAUUUAAAAAUUUCAUAGAAGUUGUUUGCUGUGAUGAAAAGUUCAAGCGCUCUAUAGUGUUUGAAUUGUUUUAACACUUAAACAACCCUAUGCGGUGGAUCACUUGGCUC